CAAGAUGGACUGGGCAUGGCUGAUUUAUAUCAGAGGAAAGUCCGGGCUGCACGGGACAACGCACCGGCUAAUAUACCGGGCAGGGCGACCUGACGAUUAGAGCAACAGUGACGAAACGAUUUAGUUCGAGUGAAACGGGCAAUCUCUGCGUGCAGCAACUUCAAAUAGGCCCCCGCACAUGUGUCCCGCAUUGGGGGCGGGUAGAAGGCUUGACAUAUGCAGCAAUGCAAUAUGCAGAUUAAUCAUGUCCACUACCGCAAAAUGGCACAACGCUGAUUUGUGGCAGAACAGAACCCGGCUUAUAUGUUUGUCUUGCAAU
This 319-nucleotide RNase P RNA is filed under the name Alphaproteobacteria bacterium. RNAcentral's name for it is "RNase P RNA component class A". It matches the Rfam family "Bacterial RNase P class A". From Rfam's summary of the family: Ribonuclease P (RNase P) is a ubiquitous endoribonuclease, found in archaea, bacteria and eukarya as well as chloroplasts and mitochondria. Its best characterised activity is the generation of mature 5'-ends of tRNAs by cleaving the 5'-leader elements of precursor-tRNAs. Lineage: Bacteria; Pseudomonadati; Pseudomonadota; Alphaproteobacteria. The record is from RNAcentral.